This is a non-coding RNA of Fukomys damarensis (Damara mole-rat), 304 nucleotides long. Lineage: Eukaryota; Metazoa; Chordata; Mammalia; Rodentia; Bathyergidae. The record is from Rfam.
GGAUGCGAGGUGCAUCUGGCUGCAACAUCUGUGACCUCACUGAUUCGCUGAUCUGGCCUGCUAGAAUGGUGUACUCUUCCUCCUUCAACACUCCAUGUGUGACCCUCCAGAAGCUGCAUUCUUGGUGGAAGAGGACCACUGCCCUCAGUAGGGAAGGACCAUUUCCCCAGUCAAGGGUAUAUAUGAAGAGCUGAAUUCCCCUGUUAGAACCUCCAAAUAAGUUCUCAAGAGUUCUGGAAAGAAUAUUACAACACCCUUUCCUGGGUGGGGUUAACUGAGAAAACCUGGGCCAAUGUUUUUCUAA